Molecule: ribosomal RNA, 406 nt
Filed under: uncultured bacterium
Lineage: Bacteria
Description: partial 16S ribosomal RNA
Rfam family: Bacterial small subunit ribosomal RNA
Source: RNAcentral
AUUGAACGCUGGCGGCAGGCCUAACACAUGCAAGUCGAGCGAGUGGCGGACGGGUGAGUCAUGUCUGGGACACUGCCUUAUGGCGGGGGAUAACUACUGGAAACGGUAGCUAAUACCGCAUACCAUCCGAUUAUACCAGGUGGGAUUAGCUUGUUGGUGGGGUAACGGCUCACCAAGGCGACGAUCCCUAGCUGGUCUGAGAGGAUGACCAGCCACACUGGAACUGAGACACGGGCCAGACUCCUACGGGAGGCAGCAGUGGGGAAUAUUGCACAAUGGGCGCAAGCCUGAUGCAGCCAUGCCGCGUGUAUGAAGAAGGCCUUCGGGUUGUAAAGUACUUUCAGCAGGGAGGCGGUACCCGCAGAAGAAGCACCGGCUAACUCCGUGCCAGCAGCCGCGGUAAUAC